This 97-nucleotide microRNA precursor is filed under the name Marmota monax (woodchuck). Lineage: Eukaryota; Metazoa; Chordata; Mammalia; Rodentia; Sciuridae. The record is from RNAcentral.
UGAUAAACCACUGGGUGAAAUGGUAACUCUAGCUUUCUGAAGAACCACCGAACUAUUUUCCAAAGCAACUGCACCAUUUUAAAAUCCUACAAGCAAU